UGUAUUGUAAUAGACACACACGACUUAGUGCUUUUGAAAGAGGGCUGAGCCUCACACACACAAACAGCGCAGUUUCUCAAUGGGGGGACGGAGUCAAGAGGAGACAGAACUGUCGUUCCGCUGGAGCCGAUCUCCGUCCGUGUGUGAAAAGUGAGGAGUCAAAUUAACACUCUGUUGUCACGAGAGGGCUUUUACAUUCACAGGAGUAAGAAGAGAGAGAAAAGGAGGUCUGUGGUGAUAUAAAGGUGAUAUGAGCCGCCUUCCAUCCUGUAAACCCUGACUAGUUUGUAACAGCGUGUUGUGGCUGUGAGCUGAGGUGGUUUCUGGUGACCGCACUCCCAGGAUUUCAGACGGACAGAGAGAGUCGAGGGGGGCAAGCGGACGAGGCAGAAACAACAGAGCUUCUCCCCCUCUUAUCCUGCAGCGUUGUUCUUCUUUACACCUGGAACUUUGUUGGGAAUCCCUGGCCUCAGACUAUGGAUGGAUUUAAGACAAUGUUGUGAGUCUGUUGGACAGACAGUAAUACUGACAGCAGGGCACCCUUUCUUUUGACCAGACAGACCACUCAGCCGCCCUGCCACCCUGCCCUGACAUGUCCUGGUUCCUGGGCCUGUGGAUUAGCAUGGGCUUCCUGCUGCUGUGCCAGGCCACGCUGUACGAGACCCUCCAGCAGCACCACGUGCCCCGGCCCGGACGCAACGCCAUCCAGAUCCUGGAAGGAGGUACGUGUGAGGUGAUCGCAGCCCACCGGUGCUGUAAUAAGAACCGUAUCGAAGAGCGCUCCCAGACCGUCAAGUGCUCCUGUCUACCGGGAAAAGUGGCCGGGACGACACGCAACAAACCCUCUUGUGUGGACGCAUCCAUUGUGAUUGGGAAGUGGUGGUGUGAGAUGGAGCCCUGUCUGGAGGGAGAGGAGUGUAAGACUCUGCCUGAUAACUCUGGAUGGAUGUGCUCCUCUGGGAACAAGAUCAAGACCACAAGGAACACUGCGCCAUACUCACCUUUUUAGCUCUGGAAGCAAAAUGCAGAGGAUGCUUCAACAGAAACUGAGCUGCAUUCUUUGCUUCUGUAAAGAUUCAUCCCAGGACCUAACAAAGAGUUCCCUUGCAGGCUCCCAGCCAGGAUCCCCUCCCUCCAAAUGGACUAAACCAUUACAUCAACGGCGACUGACUGGAUUACCUGUGACCACAAAAAGGAUAUCCUCUGAGAUAAAACAGCUUUGCUAGUGUGGUGCCAAGAAUUGUAGACCAGACUAAUCCCUUUUUUGAUCAAUGAGCCUCACGUUGGUGACUUUCCACCACAACAACCAUGGCCAAUUUCCCACAUGCUCUUUUUUCUCCCCUUCAAAACUAAAACAGCUUAGCGGGGGUUAUUUAGAUGUUGUAAAAACCUUAUUUGAAAACACUAACACCUCCCCAAAGGUAAACUGGAUGAUCCUCACUGAGCCUCAGUGCCACUGAGCAGGGGAUCCUACAGGAUCAGUGGCACAUUGGAGGGACAUUAUGUGGGGAUUGAUUUUACCUUUUUCAUCAUCCUUGUCAUCGGCAUCCAUCUUAGAAGCGACAUCUCAGCAUGCCAGCUUUCCUGUGACUGUGCGGAGCCUGGGCAGUGACCCUGACUGCUGUUCACUCUGCCUACGCAACGCAAUGCCCCCAGGAACAACAACGAGAGCUGAGUAAACAGACACUGAGAGGUCACAGGGGUCAACCCGGGGGCCCCAUGUCAUGAUUGACAUGUCAGUCAGAAGUCUUCUUUGUUGGCAUGCUCUAUGUAAUUCAUUGGAGCUUUUUCUUUGUACGUAAGAUACUUUGUGUAUAUAUACAUAUAUAAAUACAGUACAUAUAAAAAUAGUUUGGGGGCUCCCUUAUACAGUAAACAACAUAUUCUGCACAGAGAUCCUUUCGUGGGAUUCUUCAGUUCUGUCCCUGAUUAUGAAGUACGGUGAAUUCCUAGUCAAAGGUAGUGCUUGAAUCUCCUCUCUGUGUAUAGGACUGUUUGCAUUGUUUGCUUGUGUUGAGAAUCUCUGGAAUAGACGUUACAGGAUCAUGAGAAAGUAUUGGUCUUAUUCACCAUUCAGCGAUGUGCUUGGAAGAUAGGAAUCCCUGUAGCUUCUGAAAGAUGAUAAAAACACUGUACAGAACUGCCUCACAAAAGAAACUAUAAUUAACAGCGACCCAAAUCCUAUUUUCUGUGCUAAAUUAGAGAUAACAACAGUGCAACUGGGCCCGGUGUCUGAGAGUUAAUGCCUGUUCUUAUUUCAUUUCCUGUGUCUGCUAUGGAGAAUGAGUGUGGACUUGACUGUGCUUGUUGUGUGUAUAUUUCCACACAUUCACAGUAGGCAUGUUUCCAUUGACCCAGGUCUAUUCGACAAAAGCAAUGUCCCCCCCAAAAAAAUUGCGACAUUUGUAAUGGCAGAUGUAUGAGACAUUUCCUAAAGCUCAAAUACAUUUUUAUCUGUUCGACAGUUUCUUUAUUGCAACAAAUGAUGAUGGAAACUGUGUUUUUUGAAUAAAUUAUGAUUGCUGAAUAAUUUUGAAGGUACGCGGGGCACGUGAUGUUAUCAUGUAUCUAUAAAGCUCCACUCCACAUUUAAUUAUAAAUGCCUACAACUUGCAAAAUCCAUUUAUUAAAAUAUAAAAAUAAUAUUUAUUUGCAAGACAAAGAUUGUCUUGACUUUCAAGAAUGCCUGAAUUGCUUUACAUUGCAAAUUGAAGUAUCACCAUUAAAUUGUUUCAGAUCUCUUCUAGGCCUACAGUACAUGACUACAAUGGCACUGACUAUGGCGAUAAGUAGGCACGAGAAUGAUUAGAAUAUGGCAAAUAUUAGUUAAUUCUUGCAUCUAUCCAUGCUGGCUUUUGUGGGCUACCUGAGACAUGAAACAGAUAGGUGGAGGGCAUACUGGCUGUCGCCACUUUAUUAAUGCGCAAUUUGCUUAAAUGGAUAAUGGAAACACUUCAAACACUUCAACCAUGUCAUUAUUCGACAUUUUAGUUUUUGGGGAAAACUUGUUUUUUGGCGUAACGUCAUUACAUCCAGAUGUUUUUACCGACACGGCAGUACACUGGAAAUGCACUGUGGCAUGCAAUUGCCGCAUCUACAGUACUUUCUGUGUAAACUUUCUAAAUGUCGACAAAAAAUCACUGGACAAGUUAAGGGAAACCUAGCUACUGAAAGCCUUUCCAAUGGAUAUAUAGAAAAAGACAUUGAGAAAGUAUUAGCCACAUUGGAAAGACAUGCAGUACCCCCAUUAGAUAUACAUACAGCCUUAUCAGAAUUAAAAGGAUUUUCUAUA
This is an RNA transcript of Coregonus clupeaformis (lake whitefish), 3292 nucleotides long. It is a transcript of the gene named chemokine-like protein TAFA-1, with no coding region annotated. The transcript has 6 exons. The record is from RefSeq and is a predicted model, not a curated record. Lineage: Eukaryota; Metazoa; Chordata; Actinopteri; Salmoniformes; Salmonidae.